Non-coding RNA from Danio rerio (zebrafish), 70 nucleotides. The record is from Rfam. Lineage: Eukaryota; Metazoa; Chordata; Actinopteri; Cypriniformes; Danionidae.
UGCCACAAACCCGUAGAUCCGAACUUGUGGUGUCUCUGUGCACAAGCUCGUGUCUAUAGGUAUGUGUCUG